Mus musculus (house mouse) is the source of this 2072-nucleotide long non-coding RNA. RefSeq annotates it as predicted gene, 29978. The transcript is spliced from 3 exons. Lineage: Eukaryota; Metazoa; Chordata; Mammalia; Rodentia; Muridae. The record is from RefSeq and is a predicted model, not a curated record.
UUGUUUUGUUUCAGACAUAGGCUCUUGCUUUAUUGCCAAACUAACCUUGAACUUCCAGGAUCUUGUCUUCCUCCUACCUAGGCCUCUCAUAUAUAAAUGUUCUGUGGCUCAAUGUGGACCCCAUGUUUGUGUUCUUUUACAGAGCUUUCUUGAAGGGAGGCAAAGGAUAAGGCAAGUGGAGACCCCCAACUCUAAGACACAAGGCCCCAAAUUAGCUCAUGUUAUCCUACUACCCAUGUCCUCCAAAUGGUAACGGGGAGACCUCUGUGACCACAAUAUGUGGCAGGCACAACUCAAGGGAGAAGAAACGUGUUUUAUCUCUUUUCUUUGCCAGCCUUGUUUCUCUUCAAUAGACCUGGUGGGAAUGGCCAUGUGCUUGAGAAUUUUUCCUUCUCACUUCUGGGCUUUCCCAUAUGCCCUCCUUUGUGCGUCCAGCCCCAUCUCGCCUGGUUGGAAGGUCAAGUGGCUCAGAGUGUUUUGAAGAGAACUGCCAGGUCCCAAGAAGCAAGGCAGACAGUCACACCUGACUCAGGCUCGAGACACAUUCCCAGUUCAUUUUAGAAGAGAUGCCUCUUUCCAGGGACAGAGCUCAGGUGUUUCCACAUCUGAAGCCCCCUCACCUUACACCUGCCCCUGCCAAGUCCUGACUUUGCCAUCUGCUUUCGACCAGUGAUAUUCAGAUGCUCUAUAGUCUAAUGAGUUGAGAGGAAAGCAUUGACAGCCUGCACAGCAUUCUCUAUCACCCACCCGGCCCAAUACUCUUGGGAUGAAGUUGGCCAGCUACCUAAUUUGUCAUUCUGGAGUUGUCAUUCUGGAAUUCCCAAUCAGAGGGGACCAGGAACAUCUAUGAUGCAGGCCGGUCAGACCAGAUGCUGCGGUGGAAGAGCUACUCUGUGCCAGCCGUUGCUGGGGGUGGAAGUCUGACCUUCACUUUCAACCAUGUAGGGAGGCGGUUCUGGAAAGGAGUAUAGCUCAUGAAGGGUAGGUAUCCCCAUAUAGUCAUAAAUGUGAGCUGAAUGCAGUGUCUACAUUGCUCAGCUUCGAAUUGGAAACAUAUAGUUCAUUCUCUGCAAUGCCUCCUCUGUCACAUGUCGGGGCCCAUUAAAAUUUGGGUCGUCAGUUGUCUGUGGCAGCUUUAGCCUUGCCAGUUGCUUCCUUUCUAAUAUUCUAAUGUUUAGCACCCACAAACCCACAGCUUACUCUCACUCACCACGGACGGCUCCUGCCGCUUUUGCAUUCCCUGCCUGCUUGCCCUAUUUAGAUUAUUUUUGCAUCCCGUCACACUUCUGCCUGCUCUGAGUCCUUGCAUGGUUGAAGGAGAAGCUGGGGUGUCACAAGUCACCAGUUAUUCUGCCACCAGCACAUCCUCCCACUGGGGAAAAGUGUGGUGAAUGCUGAGAGAUCGGAAUGUCCCUACCUUGACUUCUUCCAAAAAGCAAGUCCAUUUUGUUAAUGAAUUUGUAAAGGCUUAAAUGUGUUUUUUUCCCCCUUCUUCUUCUCACUGAGACUUCUGUAUUUCUUUAUUGGAUACAAGCAUGAAGUCAAGCAGGUAGUGGGCUCAGCUACACCUUCCCUGAUCCGGUUGUGAGAACUUGAAACUGCGCAGAGGCAGGAAGCAUUCAUUUGACCAUCACCGUACCUUUGGCAAAGAGAGGGGGGCAAUUUCUGAUGGGUCAAACUCCUGCAUGCAAGCAGACAGUUUAACCCUGGGGUCAGCAUUUGUAUUUCACUUAUUGGACUGUUAAUAGAUUUUCUUCAUUUGUGCCAGACGUGGCGAAUGUGUGCAGUCACUGGCCGGCUCCUCCAGUGCGGGGGACCCGGGUCCACCUGUAAGGAGAUGGUGGUACGAGCUGCCGGAGUCGCUGCUUCCUGACAACAUCCCAGCUGUAGACCAGCAAUCGCAAUCCUCGGGUGGCAGUUUUAAUUAUCGGCACCGCGAUACCAUCAGCAAGUGUGUAAUUACGUGUCAGUUUCCUGGCUGUUGGGUAUGAAAAGUGGAUCCAGCGGAAUGAUGAUCGUGGAAGCUGUAGCCUCAUAUUUAAACAAUUCAAAAUGUGUAACUGGCAGUGUCA